Molecule: transfer RNA, 71 nt
Filed under: Ferruginibacter sp.
Lineage: Bacteria; Pseudomonadati; Bacteroidota; Chitinophagia; Chitinophagales; Chitinophagaceae
Description: tRNA-Asn
Rfam family: tRNA
About the family: Transfer RNA (tRNA) molecules are approximately 80 nucleotides in length. Their secondary structure includes four short double-helical elements and three loops (D, anti-codon, and T loops).
Source: RNAcentral
GGAAAUAUAGUUCAACGGUAGAACAAUUGGUUGUUAGCCUUUUGAUGAAUGUUCGAAUCAUUCUAUUUCCG